CGGUCGUGGCGGAAUUGGUAGACGCGCAGCGUUGAGGUCGCUGUGGGGCAACCCGUGGGAGUUCGAGUCUUCUCGACCGCACCA
This 84-nucleotide transfer RNA is filed under the name Brucella vulpis. RNAcentral's name for it is "tRNA-Leu". It matches the Rfam family "tRNA". Rfam says of the family: Transfer RNA (tRNA) molecules are approximately 80 nucleotides in length. Their secondary structure includes four short double-helical elements and three loops (D, anti-codon, and T loops). The record is from RNAcentral. Lineage: Bacteria; Pseudomonadati; Pseudomonadota; Alphaproteobacteria; Hyphomicrobiales; Brucellaceae.